Rhododendron vialii is the source of this 515-nucleotide long non-coding RNA. RefSeq lists it as uncharacterized. The record is from RefSeq and is a predicted model, not a curated record. NCBI's taxonomy places the organism in Eukaryota, Viridiplantae, Streptophyta, Magnoliopsida, Ericales, Ericaceae. The transcript is spliced from 2 exons.
UCUUCUCUUCGUCACUUCCGCUCACGCCGCCUGCUGCAAACACACCCACUCUCUCUCUCUCUCUCUCUCUCUGCGCGCCAUGGGUACUGAUUUACGCCGCCCUCCGCCCAGUUCUCAAGCUUCUCAUACUUGCUUUUCAUCAAUCGAAACAAGCGGCCUUUCUCCUUGAAAUCGAGUUUCAUCCACUGAAUCUUAUCGGACGCCGCCCUCCGCCUCCGUCCUCUUCUCAUUCAGGGACGGCGUUUUAAUGGAGUAUCGCGCUGGAUGUUGGUUAUUGACUAUGAAGAUUGAAGUUGGAUUUUGGUUGUGGACGUGCUUGGAACAUGUGCUUGGACGUUCUUGUAUUUGUGGUUCAUGGGGUUUGGAUACAUUUUGUUACUAAGCUUGGAUUUUUUUUAUUUUCCCCCCGUGGUGGACGCGUUGUUAUUUUGCACUCUAGGAAUUUGGAUACAAGUUAUUUUUUAACUAUUUGGUGGACACCUCUAUUUAUGAAAGUUUGUAUUUAUUUCUUGGAA